UCCUCUGUACCUCAGUUGGUUAGAGCGCUGCACCGGAAUUGCAGGGCUGCAGGUUUGAUUCCUGCCAGAGGAC
Non-coding RNA from Paramuricea clavata, 73 nucleotides. The record is from the annotation of a GenBank genome assembly. NCBI's taxonomy places the organism in Eukaryota, Metazoa, Cnidaria, Anthozoa, Malacalcyonacea, Plexauridae.